This 253-nucleotide ribosomal RNA is filed under the name uncultured bacterium. RNAcentral describes it as "partial 16S ribosomal RNA". It matches the Rfam family "Bacterial small subunit ribosomal RNA", at positions 524 to 776 of the family's 1533-position model. The record is from RNAcentral.
UACAGAGGUCUCGAGCGUUAGGCGGAAUCACUGGGCUUAAAGCGUGUGUAGGUGGAUGCCUAAGUACCUUGUGAAAUCCCACAGCUUAACUGUGGAACUGCUUGGUAUACUGGGUGUCUUGAGUCACUCAGGGGCGAGCGGAACAAAUGGUGGAGCGGUGAAAUGCGUAGAUAUCAUUUGGAACGCCAAUGGUGAAAACAGCUCGCUGGGGGUGCACUGACACUGAGACCCGAAAGCCAGGGGAGCAAACGGG